AGCAGGAUGGUGUAGUGGGAACAUGCGGGGCUCAUAUCCCCGUCGCCCUGGGUUCAAAUCCCAGUCCUGCAA
RNAcentral lists this transfer RNA (72 nucleotides) under Sediminispirochaeta smaragdinae DSM 11293. RNAcentral's name for it is "tRNA-Met (CAT) (tRNA-Met-CAT-2-1)". It matches the Rfam family "tRNA". From Rfam's summary of the family: Transfer RNA (tRNA) molecules are approximately 80 nucleotides in length. The record is from Rfam by way of RNAcentral. Lineage: Bacteria; Pseudomonadati; Spirochaetota; Spirochaetia; Spirochaetales; Spirochaetaceae.